GCCCGGGUGGUGGAAUUGGUAGACACGCAAGACUUAAAAUCUUGUGACCAUUGAGGUCGUGCCGGUUCGACCCCGGCCCCGGGUA
RNAcentral lists this transfer RNA (85 nucleotides) under Bacteroidia bacterium. Its description in RNAcentral is "tRNA-Leu". It matches the Rfam family "tRNA". From Rfam's summary of the family: Transfer RNA (tRNA) molecules are approximately 80 nucleotides in length. Their secondary structure includes four short double-helical elements and three loops (D, anti-codon, and T loops). Lineage: Bacteria; Pseudomonadati; Bacteroidota; Bacteroidia. The record is from RNAcentral.